This 377-nucleotide ribosomal RNA is filed under the name uncultured bacterium. RNAcentral describes it as "bacterial SSU rRNA". It matches the Rfam family "Bacterial small subunit ribosomal RNA", at positions 523 to 898 of the family's 1533-position model. The record is from RNAcentral.
AUACGUAGGUGGCGAGCGUUGUCCGGAAUUACUGGGUGUAAAGGGCGUGUAGGCGGGAAUGCAAGUCAGAUGUGAAAUACCAUGGCUCAACUGUGGGGCUGCAUCUGAAACUGUGUUUCUUGAGUGCUGGAGAGGAAAGCGGAAUUCCUAGUGUAGCGGUGAAAUGCGUAGAUAUUAGGAGGAACACCAGUGGCGAAGGCGGCUUUCUGGACAGUAACUGACGCUGAGGCGCGAAAGCGUGGGGAGCAAACAGGAUUAGAUACCCUGGUAGUCCACGCCGUAAACGAUGGAUACUAGGUGUAGGAGGUAUCGACCCCUUCUGUGCCGGAGUUAACACAAUAAGUAUCCCACCUGGGGAGUACGGCCGCAAGGCUGAA